GGCUUCACAGCUCAUUUGGUCGAGCAUCGCACCGGUAUCGCGGAGGUCACGAGUUCGAAUCCCGUUGAAACCC
Molecule: transfer RNA, 73 nt
Filed under: Acropora cervicornis
Lineage: Eukaryota; Metazoa; Cnidaria; Anthozoa; Scleractinia; Acroporidae
Description: tRNA-Thr
Rfam family: tRNA
About the family: Transfer RNA (tRNA) molecules are approximately 80 nucleotides in length. Their secondary structure includes four short double-helical elements and three loops (D, anti-codon, and T loops).
Source: RNAcentral